GCUAAAUACAUUACUUGACUGGUAGUAAAUGUUUGACACUGCUAGUACUCGAAAAGCUAUGAACGAAGCGCAAGUUCUUUAGGCCCAGUAGGUAUCGGUAGCUAGUUUAUUGCUAGGUAGAGUUCAUACCUUAUAGGCGCUAGCUUGCUAGUGAUCUGAACCAAGGUCUCAAAUCAGGUAGGAAGACCCGCUGAACUUAA
RNAcentral lists this unclassified non-coding RNA (200 nucleotides) under soil metagenome. RNAcentral's name for it is "partial contains internal transcribed spacer 2 and large subunit ribosomal RNA". The record is from RNAcentral.